Molecule: long non-coding RNA, 23158 nt
Filed under: Populus trichocarpa (black cottonwood)
Lineage: Eukaryota; Viridiplantae; Streptophyta; Magnoliopsida; Malpighiales; Salicaceae
Description: long non-coding RNA (PTRI_LNC003533)
Source: RNAcentral
UGGUUUGACCUGAAAAUCUUGUCAAAAUAAUAGAUUAGAAACUUCACGUGUAUUCAAGGAUAAAAUUACCUCAGUUAGAAAUAUAAGAACAUAUUGGAGAAUUACCUUAUUAUAUAAGGAUAAAUUGGGUCAUUAACCCUUGUACUAGAUCACCUGCAUCAAUUUGAAUCGACUUCAAAUGGAAGAUUUCUUAAACCAUUCUACAAUCACCAAUUAUGAGCUUUAAGUAUGAGUUCCCAUCCCAAAUAAUUUCAUUCUCUUUCCAUUAGGCCAAGAUGUUUCUAUAAAUUAAGCUUUAAUUUGAAUUCAGAAUUUAACCUUUUUCUAUAAAUCAAUUCCCAGCACCUUGUUGCUAAAAAUAAAUCAUCAUAUAGAAAAUAAUGGUUUUCUAAACCAAAUCAAUAAAAGCAAUAAUUUCAAAAUCAUAAUUGUUGUUGGCAGCUGGAACCACUAUAAUCUAGUGAGAUUAGAGCCAUGUUCAAGUGACAAUGAACUGAAAGCAAUAUAUGCAAAGAGAUAGGAGCAAUUUUCAACUGCAAUAUGUACUUACAUCGUCAUCAUGUGUAUUGCUGAAUGAACCACUGCUGCAUGUGUCUGUCAAGUCCUCAAAGUCACUGCCUCCAUGAACAUUUUCACCUUCUGGAUUCCAUAUAUAACGGCUCAAAAAAUAACUCGUGUCAUGUGCUUCUCCCGAUGGAAUGAACAUAGCCUGGAGAGAAUAAGAGAACUUACUAAGUGUUCAGAUAUGAUGAUAACUACUAUUAAAAAAAAAAAAAACAUGACUUCGAGAUAUUUAAAAAAUAAAACUGAGACAACCUUUUGCCUUGCAAGCGUUUCCCAAUUUAUGUCUCUAAAGAAAGAAUGGUUCUUAACCUGCCGGAAAAUUGACCUGUUUAAUUUUCAAAUCAUUUCUGCUUGCAAAUAAGUCUCAUCAGUGACCAUAAAGAGUUUACCUCUCUAGCUCCUAUUGCUCCUAACCUUUGAAGUGGAUUUUCUGUCAACAAUCUGAAAGUGACAUUAAGGUAGAAAUUUAAUGGUUUAUAAAUUAAAGGAGGACCUUGAUAGUACCAAAAACAUAAUUUACAUAUGGUACCAAUGGAAUUGAUUCCAAUAUAUGAAAGAGCUUAUGAUACAGAGAGAAGCCAACUGUCCUCGCUUAUGCUUGUAGGAAACACAAAUAAUCUUGUGAAUGCAAUCAUAUGCUUCAAAGACCAUUAUAUCUUGAAAGAAGUAGCACAAGUUACAUCUAGGGAUUUCACACAAUCUUACUUGUCAAUCAAAUCACAGGCAUCAAAGCUCAUCUCUUCAGGAACCCUGGGCCAGGGUAUAUCUCUAUUCAUUACGUUGUCAAAUAUUUUCUGCAAGAAAUAUGGCCUAUUAGUAUGACAUCAAGCUACUCGCAUAAAAUGUUCUGAAACUAAAAGGAACAGUUUCUCCAAGAAGGUCAACAUAUUAUGUUCCAAUUUGAAGGAUAAAAAAGCCAAAGAUAGUUUAAAAAACAAUAUAUUAAAGAUCUCUAUGCCAUAUCCAUCUAACACUCUUUGCAUGCAUACAACUUAGGAGUAAAUAUAUUAGAAAUGGUAACUUAUGACAUAACAUGCUCCACAGUGGUGUAUAAAAGGUACAGUCCAUAUUCCAUUUUAACAAAAUAGGAAUAGACAAAUGGUUAGAAGCACAGCAAAAUGUUAGGAAAGUAACUACAACCAAGUUAGUAACUUAACCAAUAUCAACAACUCGAACUAAAUAGAAGAAUUAAAAAGGAGAAUAACCAAAUUCAGUCUGCUGACCAAAACCAUUCAUAAGGUUCGGAUGACCUACCUGUGGAGUAUCUGCAUUGAAUGGAGGUAUACCAACAAGCAGCUCGAAAAGAAUAAUACCCACAGACCACCAAUCAGCAGUUGCACCUGCAAGAAGGUAAUGUCCGAUGAUGAAAAACAUAUAAUAAAUAAAUAAGUAAAUAAAACAGAACCAUGCAUCAUACAUGCACUAUCAAAGUUAAGAAAAGAAAAUUGCUAACCAUGGCCCAUGCCGAGAAGUAUCUCAGGUGCCAAAUAAUCAGGAGUGCCAGCAACUGAAUGCUUUUGACGCUCUUCUCUCUUGGAUGACGAUUGACCCUUUAGUUCAUCAUCAUCAAGAAAACCAGAACUACUGACUAACGGAACAGAUAAGUCAUCUGUACUGUUGAUAAGACCAACUUUUGAUAGCCCAAAAUCUGUCAACUGUAGCAGAAUGGACAUUUAGAAGAAAACAAUUAAAAUACUAUAUAAAACAUCUUUUAAAGCACAGUGAGUGUUCUUCAUAGAUGUAAUAAUCUAUUAAACACUCUAGUCCAAAUAGUGAAAGCAUUGUUUUAAUGUUCUUUGCAGUAAAAUACAGGAUGAUAAUUCAGCAUUCUUGAAAGUAUUUGUUAAAGGAACACAAAGAAGAAACAUAGAAAAACUAGUUGGCAAAUUGAAUAACUAUACGGAAUAAUGAUCAAAUAAAAUUCAAUUUACAAAAUAAUAAUUGCAUCCAAACUAACAACACCAAUUAAACAUAUUUUAGUAGUGGACCUAGCAUGAAGAGAUGAUUCUCAUCUGGUCUACUGCAUGCCUAUUCUCUUGAACAUACUAUAUACCUUUAACCUCAACGAAGACUCCAAUACAGUAUCCCUUGAACACUAAUCACGGUCAUGACAGAUUAGGCAAAUCCAUUUUAGCCUUCUAUAUAAACUUGAAUAUUUGUCCGACACUUCAUCAUGCCACAGAAUGAAACUCUUGUUACCUUUGCUCUUUCUAUGGAUCUCUCAUAAGCAGUGGCAUACAGCUAUUAUUUUGAAAACCAUACAAAAAUAUUCUUAUAUUAAAAUCCAACAAUCUACCAUCAAAUAUGGAACCUAUAACUCAAUGCGCAAUAACAAUAUAAUGUUACCAAAACACAUGAAGCCUGUAAUACCCAGUUAUGGUCCUAAUGGAAUGUAAGAUUCUGGGAGGUAGAAUAUGAAGACAGAACUUUCUUCGGCAUUUCUAUUUUCUAAAUGAAACAUUGAGCCAAGAAAACUUCUCUCUACAUGCAUGCCCAUGUGUUUCUAAUAUAGAGAUGUGUGCACAAAGACAGACACAUAUGACUUUUGAAGAAGUUUCCUUUUCCACCUAGGUGAUGGGAAAUAAAAAAAAAACCUUCAAAUUUUCAAAAUAUCAACCUUGAUGUGACCAUCUUGAUUAAUCAACAAGUUGUCCGGCUUCAAGUCUCUAUGAAUGACAUUUGAAGAAUGCAAGUACUCCAAAGCAAGAACCUGGGAAAUAGAAAACCAACUAUUUGUACCAUUUGUUAGAAAGUUUUAUAAAUUGAUAUUUGAACGAAAAGGCCAUAGAUACAGGUAUGCAAAGAAGCCCUUACAACUUCUGCAAUAUACAUACGGGCCAUGUCUUCAUCCAAGCAGCCCAAGUUUCUCAAUAAAGAGUACAGAUCUCCACCAUUUAGAUACUCCAUGACCAGAUAAAGAUUUUCACUGCAUGUGAAGGAGUAGAAAAAUCGAACCUGUACAAUCACAGACAUUAGAAUAACACGCUUUCACAUGCAAUACUCCCAUAAAAUGGGUAUAUAUGAUACGACGCAUGCUCACCACAAAAGGAUUGCACACUGAUAUGAGGAUUUUACGCUCUUCCAAAAUACUUUCAACUGCAUUUUUACAAAUCAUAUCAGCCUUCCUCAGGACCUGGAAAAAGUAUUCAGUAAAUAAUCAUUACAUCAAGAAAAGACCACAUUUAACCUUUUACAGGCAUUUAAUUCUCCCAAGCUUGCAAAGAUGCGUAUACAUUUACAAGCAGGCUGGGUUAUGUAUAAUUGUAAUGGUAAUCUGAAAGCAGUAGCUCAAAUUUACUUUUCAGCAUUCAAUUUCAUCAGCAAAACUGGGUUUUCCCAAUGAAACAAGAGGCUGAUGAAAAAAGGGGUGGUAAAUCGCCAUUAAUAGUCUCCAACAACGACCAUGCAUAACCACACAAAAUUGAAACAUAAUAAAAAUCCAAGAUAGAAAUUAUUAACAAAUUUAAGAUACAUAAUAUGAUCUCUUGGUUUGAAUUGACUGAGUAUGUCUCUUUCCAAAUUGGUUAGGAGAGCAGAUCUACUGAUAAACAAAGGUGGUAAAGAAAAAACAAAUUGAUUCAGGGAAAAAGGAAGAAUUGGAGAUCCAUGUGUUUUCUCAAGAGGAAAAAGAUAAGGGAUACAAAAUAAUGGAAUUAGAAAAAUAAAAAAGAUAGGCUAGCAAAACUGGAAAGCCAAAUCAAAAGGCAAUGCAGUUUUGUUUCGAUAUCAGUUCUUCCUUCUUAGAAACAAAAGACAAACCUAUAUUACUUUGCAAUAUAGCAGUGAAAGAAAAGAAAACAGUAUUUAAUUCUUAUAAUUUAUUGCUAUUCAGACAGCUUUUCUCUUGAUUGAAACCUUUUCUCCUGCAAAUCUUUGCUGGAACAGCCUAUCAUCCAAGCUUCCUUGCUUUUGUCCUCAUCUUGGUAGUGAACAGUCAAGCAUGAAUCAGGCAUAGUACCAUCCGUCCCUCUAACUUUCUAUACCCUAUCUAAUCCCCAAUCUCAUCAUACAGAAAUUUGGUUCUUCAAAGAUAGAUAUAUAAAAACCAUGUAACAAUAUAGACUCUUAAGAAUUGAAUCAGAAUUUGCAAUAUUCUUUAAGAAAACGGAGGAAUGCAAAUCCCUGGCCAUCUGAUAUCAUAUCUACCAAGAGGACAAUAGUCAAUUUCACAUGUUCAAUCAUAAAGAUUAAGAAAGCAUGUUCUAUGCAGUUAUGUAUUUAUGACAGCCACUUUCAUGGUGUUGUUAGAUGCUAACCUUUAUAGCAAACAAAUCUCCAGUAGCUCUUUUUCUGGCAAGGAAAACCCUUCCAAAGGCCCCUCUACUGAUUGGUUUUAUUAUUUCAAAAUCAUCUAUAGAGGUUCGGUCUUUGGAAGACAUGUUAACAGGACUUGUACGCAAACUGCGAACUGCAUCAUUUUCCUCAGAACUGUCUUCAUCAGCCAUCUGAUUUGAUGGGUCCGAUUUCUCAUCAUCUAUUUGGGUACAGAGAUGCACAUAUUUCUCCCUGUAGAUUUGAAGAAAAAGAAAUAUAAUAAAUUUUUCAAUGGUGAAGUACUCGGUAAACAACUUCGAAGUGAUGGUUGUUUAAGGUUAUUUUUACUGAUUCUAUUACUAAAAUUAUUUGAUUAGUUUUAAAAUUUUAAAGUUCGGUUAAUCAAAAUAAAUACACAAAUGAAUUCAAAAGGAUGCUAAUGAUAAGUAAAUUAAUCAAUUGUUGAAUGUGUGUCAAAAGAUGACAUUUUUAAGAAAUCUUCACAUAGCAAGAAAACAACCAUUAUAAAUUAUUAUGUGAAAGCUAUCCAUCAAUCUGUUUUAUAUUUUAGUGGACUUUUGAGUAAUUAAUAUCUUAAUAAUCAGAAAAAUUAAUAGAGUCCAGACUAAAAACCAACCAGAACACACAAACAGAAGAUGAAGCAAUAGGGUAACUAGAGCUAAAAGUAGGAUUCUUUUAGUUAUAGGAUAAGAUGCUAAGUUGAAUUACUAAAAAGAAAACUUCCUGAAGCUUCAUAUAGAUAACAAGGCUUGAACUUGAAAACUGACUUACAGAAGUAAUUUCUCUAUGCGUCUUCCAAAAGUCUCUACAAUGAGGGCAUCCACCUUCCUGUCCUGAACAGAAUAUUUUAGGUCUUCCAGACAGUCCAGCAUGCUCUCUAGUGCACUAUAGUCAUUGUCAUUUAGACUUGCAACAGAGCGAGCAAUAUCCAGUAGCUUGCUUAUCUGUCAUGCAACAGUAAAAUUUAGGAAAUAGAAACAAAGAGCUCAAUGAAAUAACAACAGUCAGUCAAAUGACCAUAUUCACUGAAAUUUCAUUGUGUGCUCAAUUUCACAACCUAGAAUGAAGAUUUGCAGUGAGAAGUUAAUUGACUGAGCCAUAUGUGUUCAGAUUUACUUUCACUUAAAUACAAGGUAUAUUGAACAGCAGGUAACAUGAAAUUAUGAUCUGCUGCUUAUGACACCAAAAUUAUCUGCAUUUGCCAUUUGUUAUUGGUUAUUAUAGAAAGGACAUAUCAAAGGUAGAAUACAACUGGAUCUGUAGGCUGUACGACCUGGAUGUGAUAACAAUUUUUUUAAUUUAAAUGCUUUCUUGUCAUUGCACACAUGCAUAUACUUCAAUUUACAUCAAGAAAUCUUUUUUCAUCAAGCAUCAAGGAAACCACAGAAAACCAAACUGCCAAAUUGUCUAAUUCUUUAUGGAUUGGAAACUACUAAGAACAUCUGUUUUUUCAGUGAUGAAAAAGAUAAAUUACUAAAUGUAUUAAUGGGUUUAUUUGUCUAAUAUAGGAAAAGAACCAUGUAGUAGAAACUUUAAAUAGUCAAAUUUGAAUUAUAGUAUUUGUCAGAAAAGGAAAGGAAAAAACAAACAAACAAACAAACUACUACUAGCCUGAUGCUGAACAAAAUUUACUUGGAAAAGGAUGGAGCAAUCUUGAGUGAGAGGCUGAAGGUAGAACCAAUGCACAAUUCUAGUGAUAAAGUUCUCUAGAGCUGAAGCCAUCUAAUUCGAGUUCACGAGAUUUUAAUCUUUCUACCAUGAAACAACUAAAAGAAUAUGACAACAAAAAAAAGCAAGGCUAGUAAUGAAAAUGAUUAUGGCAGAUACCAUACUAACAAAGAUAACCAAUAUAUAUUCAGAAGAAGAUCAAUCCCUAACCAGGGUGAAUCAUCCAGAACAACAGUUUAACACAACUACAUACCUGAUGACAACCCUCAAGUUCUGUUAUUGUCCUCUGUCCACUCAAUAGUAAACCAAUUUGGCUAGUCCGUGGAGUUAAUAAUGGUGAUCGUGGUGUCAAGCUUUCUCUUGAUGAGGUUAUUUUGUCUGCAUCAGGUGUUUGAGUGGAACGUGCUUCACAUGAAAUUUCUGGAAAAACAUUGAUAUCUUCCAUCACAAAAGAAUCAGGCACAACAUCAAGCAUCUCUUCAGAGCAGCAAGAAGAAAAGUUGUUUCGUUUUGGUGAUAACCCAUCUGACACCUCAUGAAUACCUGAUGUGGGCACUCUUUCAACCUCAGGACUUACUCUUGGAGUAUCACAUCUUUUUGGUGUACUUUUUGGUGUGGUUUUUUGUGACCAUGAGCGCAGUAUCUUUUCAAGAGUUUCUGCAACUCUUUCAAGUCUUUCAUUUACAGUAAAGCCUUUCAAGUCACAUCUGUCGGCAAUAGUACAAAUUAGAGAGUGUUCCUCUACAUGUACAAUCGGUAUUUCAACCUCACAGAUCCGGCAUAUCAUAGAAUUUUCAUAUGCAACAUUGUGUUGAUCCACCCAGAGUCCCCAAGAAACUCUUUUUGUUCCUGGGGAUGGAGGAUGGUCUGGAGUUUCAAGAUUUUCAGAAUAAUCAUCUCUAUCAAGUAGUGGUUCUGAUUUAUCCUUGAAAGGUGUUUGAACAACAUCAGUGUCCUUCCGAUUUUUCUCAGCAGCGGAUGGAAGUUUCCUCCAAGAUGACAUCUUAAAGCUGCUUGCAGUUGAAUCAACACUUUUUGCAGUGCCAACCUCCAAAGACUGAUCUACUUGAUCCUGCUUUGUAACUUGAGUGUCUUGUUCAAUACCACAGGAUUUCUUUCUCUGCUUCUCACCCGCUGUCUUCCAACCCACCAAUGGACCGCUAAAGUCCUGUUGUGCAAUUUCAAUAAUCUGUUCACGAUAAACUCCAAGAUCACUACAUUGAUGAAUGCCCAGAAUUUUGUCUUCAUCACAACCACUCUCUUUUUGGAACUGCACAAGCCUAGUGCAUCGAGUGAGGAUAAAUAAAAGCCGGGUGUGUGCUUGUUUGACAAUCCCCAUUGGAAGCUCUUGACGCUUAUCGUCUAGGUUCUGGACGAUACCCUCACCUUUCACCCAGAAUUCGUUAGAAGACAUCUUUGCACAUUGUCGAGCUACAACCAACAAGUCCUCCAAACUCUCUCUCCAUUUGGGGUGAGUGUCUGAGGUCUUUUCAAGUAUACCCACCAAAUCCCCAGCAAAUAUACCUAAAUCAGAAUCAACUUCCUCUUUUAACCUGAUGAAUUUCAUCCUGAUUGCCACCAUAACUUCCUAGUAUUGUCACAAAUCAAGUUAUUUCUACCAAACAAUCAAAUUUUCAAAGGAAGGCAAAUGGACAGCAAAUACAAACACAAAAAAAAAGGAACAGAAAGCACAAAGCCAAUGCACCUCCAUAUGACCAAAUGCGCGGGACUUCCAAACUGGAAAAGCCCUAACCCCUUUGGAAUUAAGCUCAUGAGAGAAGCUCUUAAUAUCCGGACUCUUCUUCAUCCUACCGCUUGUAACACGCAAUAUAGCUUGAAAACGCGGAGACUGGAUUUCCUUUGCAAAAAAUGCUGCAUGAUUACUCUGCCCAAAAAGAAAACACAAAUUUAAUUUAGCUUAGCCACUUAACAUGAACAUAUACACACUCUUAUCACACAUAUCAAACUACAACUAACAUGACCAAAUUCAUUACCUCCAUUGCUGGAUUGAGUUGCGAGUGAGCUCUAAAUGGUUUCGCUUCACCCCACGAAAUCUUUUUCCCUGUAUUUAAACCAAAAAAGAACUUAAUUAAACUACCAUAAAUCCUCCACUAACAAACACAUUACAAUUUAUUCCCUUUACUAAUCUACAGUUAUUAAAAAAAGAAUUAUUAAAUAUAGCAUUGAGUUCUUGCAUAAAAUUAACACUCAUAAAUAAAUUUCAUAGUGAAUUUUGUAAAAAACAAAUUACAAUUUCUGAUAUAUCUAAUAAUUUUUCGUGAAUCCCACACGAGCCUAACUCCUGAACUCAUGGUACGUGGGUCCCACAUGAAGGUAUAUAAAAGUCGUGAUGGAUGCAACUACACAUGAAUACAUGGGAUGGGUACCAUGCAAAAAUUAGCAAACAAUAAUUGAAAUCUGAAUUAAUCAUGUAAAAAAAAUUCAAAAUCACAUAAUUAGUUAGUUAGUUACCUUGUUCAAAGGACGAUCCAUUAAGCCUCGUGUCGACUCCAGUUUUAACCUCAUCAUCAUUAUUAUUAUUAACCUGAGCAUUCCCUAAAUACGACGGCGUAGCAGCUGACGACGAAAACCUAAGCGGAGAAGGAAUCGGAAGGGAACGUGUCCUUAUAUGAUUCAACCCGAGCGCCGACGCCAUAAUUAUUGGCGAAUUCUCGUCCGCUUUAUAAUUUCUCUUCUCCAAUUUCUCCUUGUCGUCAUUUUUAUCACCGCAAUCUGUGUCGUUGCCGUCGUCAUUGUUGAUUGAUUCGGUGUCGUUCAGUGGAGCCUCGGGUUUCUGGAUUCGGCGGAUUGGAAUGGGAGGGAUUUUUCGGAGUUUGAAAGAGGAAGGAGAUGAGGAGGAGGAGGAAUUGAGAGUCGAUGGUGAAGGAAAUGGCAUCGUUUUUAACGACGACGACGAUGAAGGAACUUCAUGAUGGUGAUUGGUUGUCGACAUGGAUGUAAAUCGGUACUGAUUGAAUCGAUCAGGUUCUUCAUUGCAUUGUGAGUGUAGAGUGAGAAUGUUAAGGAGAUAAAGCGAGAGGAUUUGACAGAGAGAGAAAACGUAGAAAGAGAAAGCGAGAGGAUUUGAAAGAUAGAGAAAGAGAGGAGAUUUUUGCGGGAAAUGGAGCUACAGAGGGUGACACGAUGCUGGGAGGUUUUCUGUUAAUUUUGUACGUACUUGCCGCGAAGAGAAUUUUUCUUUUAAUAGGCUACACUUCUGUUUUACCCCUAUAGUUUGGAAUUUUCAAUAUUGCCCUUCUAGUUUCUUAAAAAAACUUCAACGGUACUACCUUUUAUUUUAUUUUUUCUUUUUUAGGCUUUUAAGUUUUUUUAUGAAAUGUUAUAACGUAUAUGAGAAUUCUUUGUAGGAGACUAGCUUUACUUCUCAUUCUAUGCUGGAGAAAAAAUUCUUGACGUAACGAAAGUGCAUGACAUUUCAUCUGGUUCUAAGAAUCCAGAUCCGGCCACCACUGCAUGCGAUGCCCAGGAAAAUAGGAGCAGGGGUUUUGGGGUUGGGAAUUCAUUUUCCAACUCAUUUUCACCUUGAUUGUUGUAUAUUUUAUAUCAUAUGUUUGGGUGCUGAGAAACUGUGACAGAACCAGGGGAUUUGAAGAUUUUUUACGUGUGAUGUGAUGUUCUUAUGGUUCUUUUGUAUUGACAUGGUUUUAGUUCAAGUCAUCUAUAUCUUAUGUCAAAGCUUAAGUUUAGGUUUGAUUUAUGAAAGGUUUAGGUUAAUUUUUCAAAUUUAUGUUGUGUGUUAGGUGCGGGGAAUUGAUUAAUUAUAUCUCCACAAUGCCUUCAUCGGUUGAAAUUAUACGAGCCGUAGAAGAGAUUUUAGGCACGGUAGGUUCUUGAUCAUAUUGUAAUUUUUCAUGUUUGUUCUAUUGUUCUGCACUACUUUAUCAGUUAAUUUCAACCUCAUUAAUUCUUGGAGCAAUUAUGGUGUUUGAUUUGAUAGGUUUCUUCUGUUCGCCGUUCUACUCCACUCUGUGUAGAAACUCAUCCACCCAAGUUUUCCAUUUUCUUAUAACCCAUGAAUUUGCUUUUUUCCUCCUGUAUAUGUGUGUGAUUCUGUAGUAAUAUCUGUUUUUGUUAUACUGUAAUGUGUGCCCGGAAAUUUGUUGAGGAAGCUCACAAGGCAUUCGCAAGGGUUGAGGAAUAUGCAGAUGUGAGUGAUCUAUUUAGUUGUAUGAAGUUGCAUUUUAACACUAGCUUACUCCACAUGAUUAGUUGAAGCAAUUAUUUUAAUUAAAACAUAUAUCAGUUUCAUCAGCUAUUUCCUGUCACCACUUUUGCUGUGCAUGCUCACUCGUCGGCAUACAGCAUCUUGAUGGCAGUCGUGCUAUAUAUGCUGCGGUUAAAAAGGUAGAACAAGAGGGACAUUUACUCCCAAGGGAGGCUCUCGGGGCUGCAAACGCUUCUGAAAUGACUUUCUUGAUGGACCUGAUCUCCAUCCUGGUAUAUUCCUUGUCAUAGUUGGCUUUCUGAUGAAAAACAAACAAGCCAUUUUGCUUCUUCUUCCUCCUUUUUUUUUAGAGAAGCUGCAACAACUAGAAUCAGAAUGUGAUCGACUGUGUUGGGAUUUAAGUAUAGCAAAAGUUUUUUCGAUCCUCAAUCAGCUUUUUUAUAUCUUCAUGGGAUUUUCAUCUUAUUACAUCAAUGUGAUUGUGUGGUCCUAUUACAUAACUUUUGUAAGCACUCUCUGAUCAGGUUCGAUGAAAAUAUUAGGAAUGAUCUGGGUCGUGUGGAUAUACUUGUAUGGUGCAUGUUUUGCUGCAGCUAUAUGGGAAAAGAUAUGCAAGGAGGGUCCACUUUCAGUACUGGCCACGGGAACUGCUCUUGGAACUCUAAACUGUUGCAGCCUGGUGGAGCCAAAAACGCAGCUGAAUUGUUGAAGGAUCUAGCAGGGGAAGGGAUUGUGAGGGAAUAUGCAAUGGAGGAAUAGUUCCUGACGUGACGUCUUUUUGAGGAUUCAAAGUGGAAAAUGAGUGGAGAUAUACUGCACAUCGUACUGAUCCAAAAGUAAGAAAAACAUCAACAUCUGUAAGCAAGAAAAGUUCUGCUGCUUCUUAUGACCAAAAGAAGCAAAAAGAUCGAAGAAAUCUGUGGGAAAAGUGGGAAGCCCUAGGAAGGAAAAGGUUGAGAAAGUAGAAAACCAGGUCACAUUAUUCUAGUUGAUCCUACAGCUGUAAAUUCAAACAAGGAGGUUGAAUAUUUUUAUCGAUUCAUGAGUUAUAGAAACCAAAAUAAAUCUCAAGUUGCAUUCACUUCUCGUUUAUGGCUGCAAGAUUGUUUCCUUCUGUUGACUGUGGCUACAGAGAUCUAGGAUUUGCUAUUCCCUCUUAAAUGCAUUUUCUUACAAGCUAUGAUCAGGUAACAGAAAGAAUGCUCUCAGUUCUCUCUCCAAGUCAUCACCUGCCCUUUGUAGGAGCUGUCUGUAGGAUCAGAUGGCCAUGCUCUUUGCCGAGUCUCCUGGCAUAUGUGCUGUAGAAUUCUCCUAAUUUAUACUUUUAACUAACCAAGUGUUUGUCUGGAAAUGUAUCCUCAAUAUUUUUUAAAAGUGUUUUUUUUUAUUUAAAAUUAUAAAAUAAUAUUUUUUUAAUUUUAAUAUUAGCAUACUUAAUCUAUCAACAAACACUUUUCAAACAAUUUGGUGUUUUUUCAUAUGAAAAAUAACUUGAAAAACAGGUUGGAUUAAAAAAAAAAAAGAGCACUGCCCAUUCGUAUCUAUGUCGGUCUGUUCAGAUACAUCUCGUAAAAUUAGAACUAAACUAAUUAGGUCCUUAAUGUACCUCGAAGAAUCUUAAGUGGAUUCUUUUGUCGGCAGUUAGACACAGCAGUUUCUCAAUUGGCUUAAUAUAGACAACCCUAGGCACGUGUGUUGAUGAGAGGAUCAAAAUGAGAAUUCCUGGUUAUCUUGAGACAAAAUUAGAAAAUAAUAUAGAUUGGGGACCUAAUUGGAAAAUGUGUUAUAGAACAGUGAUUCAUUUGAGGUUAUCCGAAAAAUGAAUUCCUGCACCUUCCCUGACACGACGGCGUAACUUCUAAAUUUCAGACCUCAACAACCACACUCUUGAAAGCCUCUCCUCACCACCACCACCACCACCACCACCACCACGACCAAGCAAUGUCCGCCCUAAUCCGCCGGUAUGCGGCGGUGCUCUGUCACAAACGCAUGCUCAAACCAAACUAUCCGACUCUUGUCUUGACCUGCCACGUCAGCACCUGGGUCGCCCCUCAACUAAACGGAGCUGCCGCCACCACGGGACUCUACGGUUUUGAUCAUUUAAAAACCCCUAAAGGGUUUCAACGUUUUGUUGAUGAUGCCAUUGAAAGGUAACCAAAAACAUUAGAAAGUUCAAAAUUAUAAGACAAGUUUUGAACUUUAUAUUUUCUUGCAUGUGUUUGGUUACUGAGAAAAUGUGAGAAAUUGAAGGGAUUUGAAAGCUUUUGUUAUGUGAUUAGUGUAAUUUGAUGCUAAAGCUGAAAUGGGUUAGGUGAAAGUUUAAAUGGUAGUGAAAUUGGGUAUUGUAUGUAAAGUUGCUUUCUUUUGGUUUCUUUAUUGAACUUUAAGACAUUUUUUUAGUCUGAAUUCUGGUUGUGUAUAAUGGGGGUUUAAUACGUAUAUUAUACAAUGAUGAGGUUGUAAAGCAUGAAAUUUUCAAGUUUUUUUAUUUCUUGGCAAUUGAGAAGAAGGGUUUAAGAUAUCAUUUAGUUUUAUAUCAUACAAUUUUAUUUUAUUUUGAAGUUUUGACCUCGAAUUUAAAUUGAGUUUUGGAGAAUGUUUUAAGUUGAAUUUCAUGUUUGUUAGGUCAGGGGAGCUGGUUAAUUAUAUUUCCAGUAUGCCUUCCUCGGCUGAAGUUUUACGAGCUAUGGAUGAGAUUUCUAACACGGUAAUCUCGUCGCUCAGUGCAUUAUUGCAUCCUUGUUAUGUUGUUCGUGUUAUUAGUUAUUGGAAUGAUUGUGGUGUUUUUAUUUGAAAGGUAUGUUGUGUUGUGGAUUCUGCGGAACUUUGUAGAAAUACUCAUCCAGACAGGUUUUUUUUUCUGUGACUUGAGUAUUAACUUUUAUCAGAACAUGUGUCUCAUGUAGUAGAUGUGCUUAAUAUUUGUUAUUCACUGAUAUGUGUCAGGGAAUUUGUUGAGGCAGCUGGUAAGGCAUCGAUGAGGAUUAAUGAAUAUCUACAUGUGAGGUGACCAAUUAUGUAUUUGGUAUUUGAAUUGCUUUAACAGCUUGCCUUGUAAUUUGGUUCUAUUCUUGUCUAGUAAGUCAAUUAGCUAUUUCUUGACUUUGGCAUGCACUCCUCUGACAGUACCUCAAUACGAAUCAUACUUUAUAUGCUGCGGUGAAAAGAGCAGAGAAAGAUGGACAUUUGCUCACAAAAGAGGCUCAUAGGGCUGCCAAUCAAUUACGUAUUGAUUUUGAGAAGGGCGGGAUUCAUCUCCCUCCUGGUAUAUACCCUUUUUUUGUUGACUUUCUGUACCACUGCCUGUAAAACAUUUUCUUCUAUAGAAGAUAAACAUAUAAAUUUAAGUUAGAUAGAGUUAUUAGCUGUUGACUUUAAGUUAUGUUGUGGUCAAAUUUUCCACUUAUAAAAUUUUACUUGCACAGAUCAUGAACAUAUUAAUUUUGCUUUGCAGAGAAGUUAGCUAGAGUGAAUCAGCUCCAUUUAAGCAUCCUUCAGCUAAGUAGAGAGUAAGUAUAGCAUCACUUUUGCUCAAUUGGCUCUUCUAUAACUCAAUCAGCUCAUUGAUUUGUUACAUCUAUUUACUUUGGUUAUUUAUCCUGUUUUAUACCUUUUGUGCAUAUUCUGUCAGGUUUGGUGAAAAUAUUACUAUUGAUCCAGGUUAUGUGGAUAUAUUUCCAGCAUCUCGCAUCCCAAAACACAUACACCAUCUCCUAAAACCCGUUCACCGUUUUACUUCUGGAAGUUCCUCGGGAUCAUUAGGGUCAUGGAAUAACAUGAAAGAAAAAGGACUGCGAAUAACAACAGAUCAUCGUACGCUAGUUUCUGUGAUGCAUUGGGUCUCAGAUGAAGAGGUACUUUCAUCUUGUUGGUUACAAAUACUUGGCAGUCUUGUUUUCUUCCUGUUUGGAAAGUUGAGUUUGUGUGAUGUGUCUUCUUGCUCCUGGAUUUUACUAUUUGUUGCUUUGAUAUUCUAGUCAUUAUUGUACAAAUGAAAUUACUCAGACCGGUUAGGUUACAAAAUAGAAGAAAAUUGACAUAUCUUGACUUGUUAACAUAUCUAUAUAAGUGUGUGAUGUACAUGCUUCUCCAUUGCUAUUGCUAAAUUUCAUAGUUCUUUUCCUUAUUUUUUUUAAUUUUAUUUUCAGGUUAGGAAGAUGGCAUAUAUCCAAGGAAACUCUGUACCACAUGCAAACCUUGAAGUACUUGAUAAGCUUGCUGCAGCUCGUCAUGAACUGGCCCAGGUUGUUAUCAGUAUCUGAAGUGUUUGAAAAUCAUGUAUGAUGUAAUCAGGCACUGAUCAUCUACACAAGUGGUUGCAUUUGAAAAGUAAUUUUAAGCAUUUGAUUUUCUUAUUCUGGCAUCUAUGUGAAGACCUUGGAUUUACUGUCUUGGAGAAGUCAUCCCUCCAAGAUUGGGUUGUUUCUUCAGUCUUUUUAUGUUCAGUGUGAACCCCAAAUAGGGCAUGGCAUAAAGGCUUCUUGAGGAUAUAUACUCAGUUCAGAAUUUUGUGUCUCUAAUCAGCAUGCAUUUUGUUUUACCAAACAGAAAUGGUGAUGCUUUAGCAAUUAAAACUUUAGAAAUCUAUGUUAUUGUUUUGAAUUUUGACGUUAAUCCUGCAGUUCAAAACUAGUUAAAUUUUUACUUGGUCAAUGCAGAUGAUGGGAUACAGAUCUUAUGCUGAAUUUGUUGUGAAACCAAACUUGGCUUCAUCACCUGAGGUUGUGAUUUCAUUUCUGCAUGAAAUGAGCAAGAUGGUUAGGCCAAGGGCUGAUGAGGUAUUCUGUUCUCUAUAGUUAUAAUGUUGAAGAGUGGAUUAGAAUACUUUGUCAUUGUGGUUGGAGUCACAUUUUUUGAACUCAAAUGAAUAGUCGAUCUCCCUGUAGGAGUUUGAGGCAAUUAGGAAUUUUAAGAGAGAGAAAUGUGGUCAAAGAUGUAUUGAUUUGGAGCCCUGGGAUGAGACGUACUAUACAGCAAUGAUGAAAUCCUCUGCUCAUAAUUUGGAUUCUUCUGUAAGUCAUACCCAUCUGAUUUUUAUUUAUGUUAUUCUUUUUCAUGAAUAGAUAUCCUCAUGGUUGCCAUUGUGAAUGCAGAGUGGUAACUUUCCAAAGUUGAAGUAUUUGACCUUUAUAUUUUCAGUAUAGAGCCUGUUUUCUGAUAUCCUUCUCCGUCACUCUUUCAAAUGACAGGUUUUGUAUCUUGAUAUUUUUUCCUAUUUGAUGCAGAUUGUAGCCUCAUAUUUUCCUCUGCCACAAUGUAUUGAAGGUUUGAAAGUGCUGGUCAACUCAUUAUUUGGUGCAAUGCUUCACAACGUCCCCAUGGCACCAGGUGAAUCGUGGCACCCUGAUGUGCUUAAAAUGUCUCUUCAUCAUCCUGAAGAGGUAUAUACAUGGAAGAUUUUAAGUCCAGAUUUAUGAAUAUUGUAAACCAUUCUAACAAAAGUAAUGAUAAUUCUGUAGGUGUAUAUAUAAUUCAUAUUUUCUCUUGCCCUGUUCUCAUGUGUGUGUGUGUGUGUGUGUGUCUAGUACAUCGAAUUAUACAUGAGUUCGACCAGUUAACAUGUUUCCACAUGGAAGAUUUUAAGUCCAUAUUUAUGAAUAUUGUAAACCAUUCUAACAAAAGUAAUGAUAAUUCUGUAGGUGUAUUUAUAAUUCAUAUUUUCUCUUGCCCUGUUCUCAUGUGUGUGUGUGUGUGUCUAGCACAUUGAAUUAUACAUGAGUUCGACCGGUUAACAUGUUUCCACGUUUAUUCCUGGUGAGUCCAUGAUGACAAUAUAUCCUACUAUUGUCAAAACAUCAGUUCCCCCUCUCCAGAAUUAAGAAAAUUCAUGCAUAACCCAUCAUAAUUGGAUUACUAAACCUUCUUUAAAUUAAGCUCCAUUUCGAAUCUUUGGUAACAGCACCCAAAGGGAUACAAAAACCAUUCAGUUUUAUGGUUAACCCAUGUUGGACUUGUUUGAGUCAAAGAGUAUUGAGAUCUUACUUCAGUACAGUGGAGUUGAAACAAACACAUUCUUUAGUAUCAGUAAAUAAAAUGCUACUUCUCACUCGGAGACAUUUAUCCAGCCAGGCCAGUUUCUGUACUCUCUUCACGUGGCUAAAUGUCUUGAAGUUUGAACUCUUGCUGCCUUGACUCUGUCUGAUGUUCAUACAAUCGUUCAGAUCAUUUCAUGUUAUUUUAGAUGCUGCCAUUGAUCUGCCAUUUCAGUAAAAUGAUUAAAAAGUUGAUCAGUUACUUUUUACUGCCAAAUUUCAUGAACUUCUCAAUAAAUCCUUACUUUCUGGCAACAUCCACAGGCAGCUUUUUUUUACCAUUUCUGUAGGCAUAAAAUACAGUUUUUAUUUAUGCUCAUGUGAUUUGACAUUGUCGAAUAUAGCUGAGGCAUUAUAUUAUUGUUUCAGGGUGACUUGGGAUAUCUAUACCUUGAUUUGUACUCCAGGAAAGGAAAAUAUCCAGGUUGUGCUAACUUUGCUGUUAAAGGAGGCUGCCGCAUUUCUGAGACAGAAUACCAACUUCCUGUAUGCUAAUAGAUUUUGUCAUUCUUGGUCAAAGCAUUCUUUUGUUUUUCCAAAUAUCAUAGAAUGUAGUACUUUCAUAGUUUGGCAAUUAAUUUUAAUUUGGAAUUCCGACUUUUGCAAUUGGAAAGUUCUACCUGAGUACAUAAAUAAGAAUGUUCUCGUGUUGGAAUUUUAUUAAGACCAGAGAAAGAUGAACUUAUAACUAACCCUGGCUUUCCCUAAAUAUUCCCUUGAUGAAGCUUUUUUUUUAGUAUCUGGUCCAUCAUGCUAGGGCUGUUGAAUGUUCAGUUAAUAGGUAUCAUUCUUCAAUAUUCACUUUUUUACCUGGAGCACGUAGGUUGGUGGUUUAUGAUAAUUAUGUAAACUUUUAGAAAGUAUAAACUCUUGGGUGAAUUUUUGUAACUAAAAGUGGGUGGUUAAUUAUGUAGAGCUGUGGUUUUGUUCAUUUGCUAAAAGAUUUAAGCAUGAAAUUAUGUUUUACACCUAAACUGUAAAUUUUAGAGAGAAUUUUUCCAUAGAUUCACUGAAGAUUGAUUCAGUUUUUUUUCCCCUUCUCAUUUAGCUUAGUAUUGGUUAUACUGCAGGUUGUGGCCCUUCUUUGCAAUUUUUCUGGUUCACCUGGCUCAUCAACCGUGAGACUUAAUCAUGGUGAUGUAGAAACUCUAUUCCAUGAGUUUGGACAUGCUCUCCAUUCAUUGUUCUCGAGAACGGUAUAUUGUUGUAGCUUACUGCAAAGUGAAGUAAUAUGGCCAUCGAUUUAUGCUCAAUUACAAUCAUCUCUUGAUUAUUGUUGUAGGAUUACCAACAUUUCUCAGGCACCAGGGUGGCUCUUGACUUUGCUGAAAUGCCUUCAAACCUCUUUGAGUGAGUAGAAUAUUGCAAUUUCUUAAUUGCCAUCCACCUUUUCUUCUUGUUUUUGUUGUUUGGAGUAUCUCCAUUGCUUUCGGAGAUUAUAAUACUGUUGAUACAUUAAAUAAAAAUUGGUUGGAUAGUUCAUGUUUUUAGGUGAUUUGAUCAUAUAUGGGUGUCCUGAAAUCAUUUUUAGCCAAUAAGAAUGCUCUAUCAAGAGUUGGUCCCAAAAGAAACUGUCUGAUGUCUCAAUUUGGCUCAGCAGCGUGUGACAUGAAAAUACAAUAAGAAUAAUUAUGUUUCCCGUCAUCAUUUGCAUCCACCAUUCCCCCUCUUUCUCGCAGUUAUAAUUGCUUUCAGAUAUCUUAGAAUUUCGUGAUUGUGUCAUUUCAUAUGCAUCAUAAUAAAUAUUCCAAGAUUUUUAAUGAAUCUCUUCUAACUUCCUUCUUGAAGUAAUCCAUUUGAACUCCAAUAUAUUGGAGAAUAUCUCACUUAUAUAACUCUUAACUUCCUAAGUUGGUGUACCUCAUACUCACCGCCGCCUCUAUCCCAUUCAAAGUUCUAACAUGGCUGGAAAUAACCUGUCCCAUGCUUAUAUUUAUGUGUGUGAGCACUGAGAGUGAGUUUAUUGUGUUUGUGGUAAUCAACCUGAAAUUUCUCUUGGUGUCAUUCCUAGGUACUAUGCCUGGGACUACAGAGUAUUAAGGACAUUUGCAAAGCACUACUCAACUGGUGAAAUAAUACCUGAGAAGUUGGUGAAGUCCAUGCAAGGUGCCAGAGAUAUGUUUGCUGCAACUGAACUGCAACGCCAGGUUUAUUUUCCUAAGAAUGGUUCCUGUUAGCACAUUUUAUAUACAAGCAAAGAAAAAAGUUUUACCAAAUUUUGUUUGCUCAUGGUGUUAAAUAGGUUUUUUACGCAUUGGCUGACCAAACACUCUUUGGAGAACAACCAGCUUCACCCAAUGAUAUGAGCUCUAUUCUUGCUGAAUUCAAAAUGCAGCACACCAGCUGGAAACAUGUGGAGGGUACAAAUUGGCAGAUCAGAUUCAGCCAUCUUGUAAAUUAUGGUGCAGGUGUGAUCUUUGAGCACAUGAAUUUUCUGUGUUGAUAAUUAUGUGUUUGAAUUUGUUUGCUUCCAUGUGCAUGGACAUACACUGUGUGCGAAAAGUUUUUGUGCAUCAAUGUGAUCCGAAGUCAUAAAUUACUUGAGAAUAACAAGCCAUUAGGCUUGGCUCAAGCGCCAUCCCCCAACCCAAAACACAUGAUAAGUUGUAAACAAUAUAAUACUUCAAAGAUGCUUCUCGAGCAAAGUUUAAUAUCAGUUGAUGCAGUUCUGAGAUGAUUUUUGUUUGAUCUGUGCAGGUUAUUAUAGCUACUUGUAUGCAAAAUGUUUUGCUGCAACCAUAUGGAAAAAGUUAUGCCAAGAGGAUCCACUUUCAUUAACUGCAGGAACUGCUCUUCGAACAAAAGUGUUGCAGCAUGGUGGAUCCAAAGAACCAGCUGAAUUAUUAAACGAUCUGGUAGGGGAAGGGAUUUUAAAGCAUUGUGAUGGAGGGAUCGUUCCUGACAUUACAUGUUUCUUGGAAGAAUCAAGGUUGGUAGUUGGUAGGAGAUGAGUAGGAGCCAUUCUGCUUGUAACCAACCAAAAUAAAUCUCAAGGGAAGCAUGGGAAGAGAAUAGUUGUGUAUGGAAGAUACAAGAUGUUAUGUCAUGUGGAAGAUGAUAGAGCCAGGAAUGGCAGGGUAAUUGCGAGCAACCAAUCACCAGAAGUUGUCAAGGUAAGCCUGUCCUGGCAGUCCUGUUGAAUUUGAGAAAAAUAGCACAAUCAUUUAAGCACUCACUAAUACCUGGCAUGGACUGAGAUGUGAAUGAGCGCAGCUCUUUUUUAAUCCUUGCUUUGAUCUCAUCUGACAAACAGAUUAAAGUGUUUGUAGAUGUUAGCUAUUUGAUGUAAUUUUUUGUUGUAAUUGCAAACAAAGAGGCGGAAUUUCACUGAUUUUUUGAAUAAUAUUAACUAAAAAAAUUCGAGUGGAUUAACUUGAUAUAGCCUUCUGCUCCUUUGGCUCCUAGCUGAUUUCUUUCUGUAGAGCAUGGUUUUUUAUAUAGCCUUCAUCUCUUUCCAAUUACUUAUCUUUCUUAAUUCAUUAAAAAAAACAAAGAAAUAGCAUUUAAAUUCUUCAUCUUGGUUUUUGAUACUUGGCUGAUAUUUUUCAUGUUCAAUGGUUUUGCAUGGUGAUAGUACACAUCCUUUCAGAAGAACUGUCUGCUCCCAAAAAGAGGAUUGAAGUGCUCGAUUUUUCUUAAAUGCUUCUUCCCAUCCCCUACUUUUUGAACCAUUGCAACAAUGAAGAGAGUUGAUGUCAGAAUUGGACUUAAUUUUUUUGACGGAUGGUAAGAACUUGUCAAAAGGACUGAUGUUCUUUACACAGGCAUUUGUUUGUUUUGGGUAUUGUUUGAGAUUAUAAUAGUACUUAUUUUUUAAAAUGUUUUUUAUUUAAAAAAAUAUUUUUAAGAUUAAAACAUUUGAAAAAAUUAAAAAAAUAUUAAAGAAAAAAAUUUAUUUAAAAAAAAAAACACGGUGUCAUCACUAAUCACUAAACCAGGCACUGCCUAUAACCAAGUCAUUGGUGCCUGUAUCCGUAGCCUACUUGCAAUGGAACAAAUAUCACUUCAGUUACCUGAUUUUAGAAACAAAAAAUGUUAUCUAGGUACUGAAUCCAAGCAUGUAUUAUUUACACUAUUUGUUAUGAUAUCAAAUAUACCCCGCAUUCAGGGAUGGGGUCAAAGAAUCAAGGAAGAAUAUAAUAACGAGGGAAAGAAAAUGAUGUCUCCUCUGUGCUAGGCAGCUAUGUACAAACUAUGAACAGUCUUGAGAGACAUCUCUACUAGGCAUGCGUCGCUAGAAACAAGGAUAUAGCUCUUAGCAUUUCACUGAGUUUUCUGCAAGGCGAACGGCAGUAAAAAAGGAAAUCCCUGCAACAUUUGGAUGUGAACUGGAAGAACAGUGUGGAAAUAGAUGGAUACUUACAGUUGGAUAACAAUUCUUUGUUAUGCUUCCGGUUCCAGUGUUCAACCCAGCCAUGUUGCCCCUGAAUUCGGUCUCUCAUGGAACAUCUUUACAUUACUAACAAACAUCAAGAUCUCUGAAGAAAUUACUGUGCAGUGCAAAUAUUUCCGGCUGAACAGAACUCAAAGAGGCAACUUGGAGGACACUGAAAAGUCCAGCACCGUUGGUAAGGACAGCAGACUGAGCUAAAGCAGGCAAAAGAACGCAACAAGAGCUAAAAAUAGCCUGGAGAUAGAGAGCAACAACCAUUAGAUGAGCGUUAAACAGCAACUAAUAGUCAAGUAGAUGAGUUUUCGGAUGAGUAAACGGCGAACUAGAACAGGAACAUACCACCAAUAGAGAUGCAUCGGUUCACCAAGAACUUCGAUUAUAAAAAUCUCUCGUAAAUUCAGCCUGCAAAAGUUCAGUAUAUAUGGCUUCUCUGAUUUUUUCAAAUCCUAGAACUGUGAUAGCCUAACUCAGUUCUCAUUUUCGACAAACUGUGUAUAUUGUCACGGUAGUGCUCCAAAAAUGCACCGAGACCAUGAAUAAGAAGAUUUGCAGGACCUAGAUGGCCAAAAACUGUACUGAAAUAGGAACAUUAUCUUAAAAAGAAUGCAGAAAUCUAUUAUCUGAUCUUGGCUAACAUAUUCUCCAGAAUAAAAUGCAUAAAAACGAGCUGCAAAGGGAGUUAGAGAAAAUCAACAUGAUUGAAUCAGUUUUCAGCUGCAAAUCUGAUCAUGUUUCUACGUACUGUUAGCUUUGGUGGGAUUUCAUGUUUAGCUUACCUAAGAAGGCAAAAGAAAUGUAAGUCAACGGAGAGGGAACCCACAAGAUGCAAUCAGAGUUGUAGAGAACAUAUAAUUUAUGGUCAGAGGAUGACAUUGAUGUGGUCGGUACACCAUGCCACCAUCAAUCUUUCUUAAGAUUGUGGCAAGCAAUAUUAUCGAUUUUCACCCAAAAUACGUUCACUGGUAAAAGCAAAGGAAAUAAUGCACAUCCUUAUUGUCAAGACACCCACUUGCUAUUUCUUUCCUUCCUGUUUUCUGUGUUUUCAAGCAAACUAGUUGUUGCAACAGUGUUUGUUCCUCUCUCUCCACUGAUUUCCCUUUACCUUCGAAGUAAGAUAAGCCAUUUAACAGCUAAGUUUCUGAACUAAAAUUGUACAUUACACCUAACUCUAAUCUUCCACCGCUAUAAUUAUAAAAACCCUCUCCGUCCCCUCUCUAUGCAUCAAACACUAGUAGCUAGUAGCAGCAAUAUAGCCCACCUCAUCCAAAAACCACUAAAAUGGUGCCACAAUUUCUGUUCUCAGCUUCUUUUAUUCUAUUCUUCCUUCUUCAUUGCCCUCCAACCCUAGCUCAGUCACCAGCUGCAGCCCCAGCACCACCCGGUCCAACCAAUGUCACCAAAGUCCUAGAAAAAGGUGGUCAGUUCAGCGUUUUUAUCAGGCUUUUGAAAGCCACUCAAGAGGAUGUCACAUUGAAUGGCCAGCUCAACAACACAAACAAUGCUAUAACCAUCUUUGCACCUAGCGAUAACGCAUUUUCAAGUCUCAAAUCAGGCACCCUCAACUCCCUAAGCGAUCAAGAAAAGGCUGAGCUAGUACAGUUUCACAUUAUACCACAAUUUCUAUCAAGUUCCCAGUUCCAGACUGUGAGCAACCCUCUGACCACACAAGCAGGAUCAGGUGGCAGGUUAGAGCUUAAUGUAACCACCACAGGAAACUCUGUGAAUAUAACCACAGGGCUUACAAAUACAAGCGUAUCCGGCACUAUCUACACUGAUAACCAGUUAGCUGUUUAUCAGGUUGACAAGGUGCUUCUUCCUCUUGAUAUCUUUACACCUAAACCUCCUACUCCAGCACCAGCACCUGAAAAGCCAAAGAAGAGAUCCAAAGCUGCAGCGAGUCCAGAAUCUCCUGCGGAUACUUCUGGGGCAGUAAGCUUUACUGUUCUGAACAAUGUUGUGUUCUUUGGAGUUUGCAUGGUUGCAGCAAUAUAUUCUUUGUGACACAGAAGGUUUUGAUGAGGUUAUUGCAUGGAUUGCUCU